RNAcentral lists this non-coding RNA (23 nucleotides) under Arabidopsis thaliana (thale cress). Lineage: Eukaryota; Viridiplantae; Streptophyta; Magnoliopsida; Brassicales; Brassicaceae. The record is from RNAcentral.
UAACAUACGAUUCUGCGAGUAGA